AAUUUUUUGUGAUUAAUUUUUUUUUUUUUGGUUCUUUUCUAAAUUUAAUGGCUCUAGAAUAGCUCUGUUCUUUAAUUCUGUUUUGCCUCAAUACUUCCUGUCAAGAACUAAAGUAAAUUCAUAAGAUUUCAUCUUAAUGAUUUUCAAGUUCCUUUUUCAAUAUUAAUUUCUCUACCAUUACAUGAUGUUUAUUACUAUUAAUUUGCAAAUCCAGAAUCGAAAGUACUAGUUGUCAAGAAUAAUUGCAAAUUUUACAAGCCACCUAUUUCAUUCCAAAAAUCACCAUUCACAGACAAUAACACUUCAUCUUGUGCUUUGGUAUUGCAUUAAUGAAGUACAAUCCUGCGAGAUUUUAUUUAUUUAUUUUUUUGGUUUACACAUGAAGGCUGAAGCUACAUUUGCCAAAAAUCCACCCACAAAAAUACUUUAGCCAAACAAUUAGGAUAAUUUUUUCUUAAUGUAAAGUCAACUACGGAUUGGAAAUACUUCUAAAUGUAGUAAUAAUUUCUAGGCCACAAUUAGUGAAGCAAAGCACAAAAUUCUUUUUCUUUUAGACAAUUCAUCAAACAAUUGUCGGGCAUAGAUCUAUAAACUCAUCCAUUCACAACAUAAAGUAACAAAAUCUCAAUCAAAGCCUCACAAUAACAUAAUCAAACAAAAUACCAAUUUAAUUUAAAGGCAACAAGAAGACUCCAUUCUAUUUUCUUAACUGAAGAUAUAUUAGAAACUAAGUAAAUCACAAAAACAACAAAUGAUCCUUUUUCUUUAAAAGAAUAAUAAUCAAACCAAGCACAAAAAAAGCACGCAUGAUCUAACAUACUAACACAAAGAUAAGACCCUCACAGUUUCAAAAAUGACGAAGGCACGACGGCAUGAUGAAGGCAGUGGAGCAUGGUGGUGGAGUGUCGCGAAGGCAUGCCGCACAGUGGUCUCGCACGUCGCGGAGGUAGAUCGCGAAGACAAUGGAGAUGGUGGUGUCACGGUGGUAUCGUGAGACAAUGGCGGUAUAAAGGCAGAUCACAUGGGGCUGGUGGUGUUUGAGGCAGUGGUGGUGUGGAGUUGAGAUUUGUGGAGUGGAUGUGUGGAGGUGCAGGCGAGCCACUACACAGAGAAGGAGAACGAAAAUGAAAGCGAAAUUUUUUUGGUCUCAAAACAAAUACCAACCCGCGUAAACCCGACUCUCACACGGGUUUAUUUUAUGCGGGUUUGACCGCAUUACAAGCUUCUUUUGACCACAUUAAAAUACAGUGAGGAGUAGUCAAACAUGAU
RNAcentral lists this long non-coding RNA (1269 nucleotides) under Citrus maxima (pomelo). RNAcentral's name for it is "long non-coding RNA (CMAX_LNC002003)". The record is from RNAcentral. Lineage: Eukaryota; Viridiplantae; Streptophyta; Magnoliopsida; Sapindales; Rutaceae.